GACGAACGCUGGCGGCGUGCUUAACACAUGCAAGUCGAACGGAAAGGCCCUGCUUUUGUGGGGUGCUCGUGUGGCGAACGGGUGAGUAACACGUGAGUAACCUGCCCUUGACUUUCGGAUAACUUCAGGAAACUGGGGCUAAUACCGGAUAGGAGCUCCUGCUGCAUGGGGUGGGUUGGAAAGUUUCGGCGGUUGGGGAUGGACUCGCGGCUUAUCAGCCUCUUGGUGGGGUAGUGGCUUACAAAGCCUUUGACGGGUAGGCGGCCUGAGAGGCUGACCGGCCACAUUGGGACUGAGAUACGGCCCAGACGCCAACGGGAGGCAGCAGUGGGGAAUAUUGCACAAUGGGCGGAAGCCUGAGGCAGCAACGCCGCGUGCGGGAUGACGGCCUUCGGGUUAUAAACCGCUUUCGCCUGUGACGAAGCGUGAGUGACGGUAAUGGGUAAAGAAGCACCGGCUAACUACGUG
This 468-nucleotide ribosomal RNA is filed under the name uncultured bacterium. Its description in RNAcentral is "partial 16S ribosomal RNA". It matches the Rfam family "Bacterial small subunit ribosomal RNA", at positions 28 to 507 of the family's 1533-position model. The record is from RNAcentral.